AACGAACGCUGGCGGCAGGCUUAACACAUGCAAGUCGAACGCAUGCCUUCGGGCAUGAGUGGCAGACGGGUGAGUAACGCGUGGGAACCUACCCCUUGAUACGGGAUAGCUCCGGGAAACUGGAGAUAAUACCGUAUGUGUCCUGAGGGACAAAGAUUCAUCGCCAAGGGAUGGGCCCGCGUCGGAUUAGCUAGUUGGUGGGGUAACGGCCUACCAAGGCGACGAUCCGUAGCUGGUCUAAGAGGAUGAUCAGCCACAUUGGGACUGAGACACGGCCCAAACUCCUACGGGAAGCAGCAGUGGGGAAUAUUGGACAAUGGGCGCAAGCCUGAUCCAGCCAUGCCGCGUGAGUGAUGAAGGCCCUAGGGUUGUAAAGCUCUUUCACCGGUGACGAUAAUGACGGUAACCGGAGAAGAAGCCCCGGCUAACUUCGUG
Molecule: ribosomal RNA, 435 nt
Filed under: uncultured bacterium
Lineage: Bacteria
Description: partial 16S ribosomal RNA
Rfam family: Bacterial small subunit ribosomal RNA
Source: RNAcentral